RNAcentral lists this ribosomal RNA (490 nucleotides) under uncultured bacterium. RNAcentral describes it as "bacterial SSU rRNA". It matches the Rfam family "Bacterial small subunit ribosomal RNA", at positions 20 to 507 of the family's 1533-position model. The record is from RNAcentral.
UGGCUCAGGAUGAACGCUAGCGGCAGGCUUAAUACAUGCAAGUCGAGGGGCAGCGCGGUAGCAAUACUGGCGGCGACCGGCGCACGGGUGCGUAACACGUAUGCAACCUACCUUCAACUGGAGGAUAGCCCGGGGAAACUCGGAUUAAUACUCCAUAACACAGGGAUCCCGCAUGGGAAUAUUGUUAAAGCUACGGCGGUUGAAGAUGGGCAUGCGUUCGAUUAGCUAGUUGGUGUAGGUAACGGCUCACCAAGGCUACGAUCGAUAGGGGGUCUGAGAGGAUGAUCCCCCACACUGGUACUGAGAUACGGACCAGACUCCUACGGGAGGCAGCAGUAGGGAAUAUUGGUCAAUGGGCGCAAGCCUGAACCAGCCAUGCCGCGUGCAGGAAGAAGGCCCUCUGGGUUGUAAACUGCUUUUGAUAGGGAACAAAUGCCACUUGCGAGUGGAGCUGAGUGUACCUAUAGAAUAAGCACCGGCUAACUCCGUG